This 237-nucleotide long non-coding RNA is filed under the name Nicotiana benthamiana. RNAcentral describes it as "long non-coding RNA (NBEN_LNC037506)". Lineage: Eukaryota; Viridiplantae; Streptophyta; Magnoliopsida; Solanales; Solanaceae. The record is from RNAcentral.
AAGAAAAAGAUUGAAAUGACUGUUCCAAAUUUCACCUAUACCUUUCUUUGAGAUUUCAACAAAAAAUUUUGCUUUUCUUAUGAAAUGUUUAUUAUUCGUUGAUAGAUCUAAAGCUUAUGCCGUAGAAGCUGACAUCAGGCUAUUGGCCUUUUAUAUGCAUCUUCCCUCGUAGAGUGGCGUCUUUUACAAGAAAAGACUUUCUCAGUGGAACUAAAAAAAAAAGAGUUUGAGCUCUUU